CUAUUGCGCUUCUGAUUUGGCAGUGAAAUUUGCCGAUUUUGGGUGCGUAAGAUGUGAAGGAUACGAUGGUCCAGUUAGUAUUUUCACCCCAUAAUGGCGGCCGCGCUACCGGAGCGCCAUCUAGUGGCUGUUACCCAAAAAGUAUCAAAGUGUCGCCUCUUGGGUUCUAAGCUCUUUGUUGUCAGAUACUUUUUUAUCCCAUCUUUCCCAGGAGGCAACGGGAAAGGAUGCCCCAUAAUCAAACUCGGAGGAGAAAAGUGACGCGGGUGUUUGUGAAUAGCUUUUGUGGUGGAGCAGGACCUGCAAGGAACGGUGAUGGCGGCAUUUGUGGGGAAAAAAGGGAAAACCUGAAACAAAAAUAUGAAGAUGUGAAAUGUCCUCAGACUGGUGUGAGCACUGAGAGCCACAGCAGAUCCUGGAAAUGGUGUAGAGCCAUGGAUGAGACCCUCCAUCACUCCUCCUGCCCUUACUGCCUCAUCUGGACUGAUGUUGCUGUGGUCUCUUCAUCCUCAGUGAGCCCAGAGCCAGCGAGAGCAUGUAGAAAAAGACCAAAAGAUUGAGGAUGUGAUUUUGGUCAAGUUUGUUCUGCUGGUUUCUGUUCAUUCAAUGGAGCUUCAAAAGCAUCAUCAAAUAAUGUCAUGAAUCUUCUGGAAGUCAGGCUCCAUUGACUAAUAUUGUAUGAACAGAAACCAGCAGGACAAACUUGACCAAAAUCACAUUUUGUGUUAAACAAUCAAACACAGGGAUUGAACAGCGUGAAGGGAUGAUCCCGCUGGAAUAACCUGGAGUAAAGUGUCUUGAUCAAGGACACGCUGGUGGAGACGCUGCGGAGAUCGAACCAGCAACCUUCUGCUGACCAGCUCAGUGGUUUAGCUCACUACACCACAAAAGUAGUCAUGCUGAUGGAGAGCACACAAAUGUUUGCAACAGACACAGCAGCAGCCAGAUUGUCCCGCACAUCUUAUUCCACUCUUGGUUCAGGGGUCCAUCAUCAUCAUCUUCCUCAUCCUCUGGAUCAACAAUGUCAACAUUGAGAAGAGCAGCAGUGAGGGACAUGAUGGCAAAGACAGGUGAAGGUGUUCACGGUGGUCAGCUGCUUCAUCAAAAUAAAGCUGCAGAAUUGGCACAGCUGUGUUGAGAUGGCAGCAGGACUGUAAAUAGGUGAUUGUUAGAACAAUAAGUUUAAAUAAAGCUUUGUUUCAUGUGUU
Molecule: long non-coding RNA, 1208 nt
Organism: Ctenopharyngodon idella (grass carp)
Lineage: Eukaryota; Metazoa; Chordata; Actinopteri; Cypriniformes; Xenocyprididae
Exons: 5
Source: RefSeq, a predicted model, not a curated record